UACGGAGGGUGCAAGCGUUAUCCGGAUUCACUGGGUUUAAAGGGUGCGUAGGUGGGCAGGUAAGUCAGUGGUGAAAUCUCCGGGCUUAACCCGGAAACUGCCAUUGAUACUAUUUGUCUUGAAUACCGUGGAGGUCAGCGGAAUAUGUCAUGUAGCGGUGAAAUGCUUAGAUAUGACAUAGAACACCAAUUGCGAAGGCAGCUGGCUACACGAAUAUUGACACUGAUGCACGAAAGCGUGGGGAGCAAACCGG
Molecule: ribosomal RNA, 253 nt
Filed under: uncultured bacterium
Lineage: Bacteria
Description: partial 16S ribosomal RNA
Rfam family: Bacterial small subunit ribosomal RNA
Source: RNAcentral